Molecule: ribosomal RNA, 253 nt
Filed under: uncultured bacterium
Lineage: Bacteria
Description: partial 16S ribosomal RNA
Rfam family: Bacterial small subunit ribosomal RNA
Source: RNAcentral
UACAGAGGUCCCAAGCGUUGUUCGGAUUCAUUGGGCGUAAAGGGUGCGUAGGCGGCGCGGUAAGUCGGGUGUGAAAUCUCGGGGCUUAACUCCGAAACUGCAUUCGAUACUGCCGUGCUUGAGGACUGGAGAGGAGACUGGAAUUUACGGUGUAGCGGUGAAAUGCGUAGAUAUCGUAAGGAAGACCAGUGGCGAAGGCGGGUCUCUGGACAGUUCCUGACGCUGAGGCACGAAAGCGUGGGGAGCGAACAGG